GAAGCAGGAGGCAGAAGCGGCGGCAGAGGCAGAGAGGAGUUAGCCUGUGGCGACGCGUCGAGUAGACACGUCGCGAUCCCCGACGCCGAAACAUCCCCCGAUCAUGCGAGCGUCGGGCGCCGGUAGCGGGCCACCAGUUUCGUCCCUCUCGGUCGCAUCUCGCCCAUCGAGAUCAUCAUCCUCUUGCCCCUCCGCUCGCCUUCGGCUGCCAACGGCCACCGUUCGCCGCUGCACCACUCGAUUAAUCGCCGCUUAAAUCGGAUCCACCACCCAGCCGAGAUUCGUUUGCGCCGCGAGCCUCGACACAGCGGCACCCUUCGAACAACUGCGAACACCGUAGUACCGGCCGCGGAGGUGGGGGCGGGAGGGCGGGGGGGAGGGGCCGAGAAUCUGGAACACGAACAGGUGGUGCCGCAUUAGUCCAGCGCACGGGAGAGAUAUAGCGGGAGAGAGAAGUAACAGGUUUGCCGAAGGUCUUUGCUGAAGAAACUCAAGAAAUUGGAGUUCCUGCGGUACUUACGCCACGAUAAACGUCCGUGCACGACAUACAUGACGGCACGGGGACAUUUUCUACGGUAUCCCGUCGCAUAAUAUUGGACAAUCUAGUGUUUAUUACGGGAUUUGCCGGAAGGAAGCCUAUUGGCCACACUUGGUCAACAUGCUGAGCCCGAAGAUGCAGAGAAGCGUGAGGGUGAACGACUCGCAGCUCAUCAUGCUGGCGGAGAAGGCGCGCAACGAUCACUCCAUGAAAGGAAAUUUGCAUAAGCGGACCGCGGACUCGGCUAAGUGGCAAUUACGGUGGUUCAUUUUAUAUCAGAACUUGCUGUUCUAUUACGAGAACGAACAGUGUUCCAGGCCCAACGGCGUUGUUUUGUUAGAGGGUUGCUACUGCAAGCGGCUCAUCAUCGCCAGAGGCAAAGAGUCCGAGAAACAGCAUGAAAUGAACGUCACUUACGAAGACUCACAUUCUGAAAUGUCCCAAACUACAGCACUGAAGCACUGUUUCGCAAUAUCCUACAGACACGAGAACGAGAGGAAAUACGAGCUGAAAGCGGCGACGGAAUUCGAAUGCAAUACAUGGAUCGACUUCAUACGGGAGGCCAGCUUCAACAAAUUGCUAUUGCAUAAGGUGCAGAUAGAGCAGAAAUACCUGCACCUGUUGCACAUCAUCGAAACCGAGAAAACCGACAAGAAUCAGUGCGUGAGACGAUGCGAAGAACUUGCGCUGGAAGUGCAGGAACUUCGAACCAAGUUGAAUGCUGCAUUGCCGAAGCAGCGGGUGCAUUCCCAUCGGUCAGGUGCACAUGGUACAGUAUGGUUUGACAGCGGAGGGGAGAUGUCAGGCGACCCGGGAAUCGGGUUGCUGACUAUCACGGAGGAUUCUUUGGAAAUGCAAAAAAUUAAGAAAGUUCAGAGCUUUUUAAGAGGCUGGCUUUGUCGAAGACGUUGGAAGCAAAUCGUUGAGCAAUACAUCAAAAGUCCUCAUGCGGAAAGCAUGCGGAAACGUAACAGUUUGGUUUUCAAUAUGGUGGAGGCUGAAGAGGACUAUACCAGACAAAUGGAAAUUUUGGUCAGCUGUUUCCUCAGACCUUUCAAGAUGGCAGCGAGUUCAAAGAGGCCUCCUUGUUGUCACGAGGAUGUAAAUAGUAUAUUUUUAAAUAGCGAAACAGUAUUGUUCCUUCAUCAGAUCUUUUUAAAAGGUCUCACGUCUCGUAUGGAGAACUGGCCCACCCUAGUUUUAGUCGAUUUGUUCGAUAUGUUGCUCCCUAUGCUCUCAAUUUAUCAAGAAUUUGUCAGAAACCAUCAUUACAGUCUUCAAGUUCUGACGAAUUGUAAGCAGUCGUCGCCGUCAUUCGCGGCAUUGCUCACUAGAUUAGAAAACAAAACUGCUUGUGGAGGACGCUCUUUGGAGACAUUUCUGACCUAUCCUAUGGAUCACUUUCCGAAGUAUAUUGUCACGCUGAAUGAAAUAUUGGCACAUACGCCAAUCGAUCACGUGGAACGUAAAAGCUUAAAAAACGCGAAGGAUAAAUUAGUGGAAUUAUCGAACCAGAUGCAACACGAGGUCAGCGAAACAGAGAGCUUACGGAAAAAUUUGUCCGUGGAACGAAUGAUUGUCGAAGGCUGCGACAUUCUACUCGAUGUUAAUCAAGUAUUCGUCAGACAGGACACGCUCAUCCAAAUUUUGGAUAAGCCGAAAGGAGCCAGAAGUAGAUUGAGCGCGACUUUCGGAGGCAAAGGCGGCGAGAAAGAGGCCGUCAGACAAUGCUAUCUGUUUUCGAAUCAUUUGUUGAUAACAACGCGUCAAUCGGAUGGCAACGGCCGUGUGAAUUUGGUUCCCCAAAUUGGCAAAAUCCCAUUGUCUAAGGCGGUGCUGAUAGAGGACCCUAACGAACUAACGAACACGGAAGAUGACGAAAUCUCAGUAUGUUCGAUGUCCAGCGGUAUCAGCGAAAGCAGUGGCAGUGCUAGUGGAACUACAAGUAAUCACUUUCAGAACCGUGAUUUUAAGAUUAUAGUCAACCUGGAGACUGGUGGACCCCAAGUAACGGUGCACCUAGUUGCUGCUACUUUACAGGAAAAGGCUGCUUGGAUCAGCGACAUCGCGCAGUGCGUGGAUAACGUCCACUUUAGAGACCGGUUGCUUUGCCCCGCGUUGUCGGACAGCGGUUCCGUCACGAUGCCGCAAACGAUCGCAAACGAUCCGAGCCUGUUCAAGGAUGACGUGGACAUCAGAUUCAGCAGGAAACUGAAUUCUCGUAAAAUACCGCACAUACGUUCAGCGACACCCGAACGGUUGCUUCAGCAACUGACGGAUCUACGGUUCCUCAGCAUCGAUUUCCUCAACACGUUCUUGUUGACCUAUCGAGUUUUUACCGAUGGCGUCGCGGUACUGGAAGCUUUGAAGAAAGUGUUCUACGAGUCCGAGCCACCGGAUGCCGACGUACACACAGGCUCCUUCGAGUCCUUGGACGUCUUGGGAGCUGUUGCCGACACUCAGUCCCAAAUCGAUGAUAGAAGAAGAAGCAUCGUCUCACCGCGGAGGACAAGCGCAACUAGCUCCCUAGGAUACGGAUCUGAAAUAAGUGAAAUAAAGAGUCGCAGUUCCUGUGACUUCUCUGCAGGCUAUGCAAUAACUCCAAGAGGCUACUGGAAAUUUAAGAAGGACGAAGAUAAGCCACGUGUGAUCACAGAAGCCCCGUCGAUCAUAAAAAGGAGCCCAACUAUACAAUCGUCAACUGUAUCCGUGGAGACCCAAUCUCCAGUCGUACCACACAAGGAUAACAGUCAAGGAAAUCAAGACAAGAAGGAAGAUAAGAAGGAUGAGAGGGCAGCAGAAAAGAUUGAAGAAAAGAAAGAGCAAAAGAAGAUAGAAAAUGAUGGUUGUCAUCUGACCAUACCAAAAGUAAUUAAUGUUUCGUCGAGUUCUGAGACACUUACAGAUAAUACUGUAAUAAGUGCUCCAUCGUCGCCAAGCAACUUGAGCUCCGUUACAUUGGUUGGCUCAACUGGAUCAGGUUCAGGUUCAGGAUCAAGUCCUCAAGAUGGAGGAACAUAUUCUCGCGGUGCUUCCGAAGAGACUGAUACGCCCGUUGCAACGGAAGUGUUGAAAGACGAUGUGCAAUUCACGUACGAAGAGGAACCCAAGACUCCCAAAUCAGUGAAGGAGGUGACCCCUGUGAAAACACCUCCGACUCCGCUAGGAAAACGCGCCGAUAGAGAAGCAGACACGAGCAAGGCGGUAAAAGAAAAACCACAUCCACCCAAAUGCGAGACUAUCGGCUCGAGAACACGGCCUCAGUCCCCGGAAAGAGCACCAUACAGACCUUCCUAUCCUAAUUAUUAUCUACCCAGAGCGUCGAUUUGGUCCGCUCCAGAGGAUACUGGAAGGAGCAGCUCUAUUUCCACGAUCACCAGCAGCAAUUGCUGGCCACCGAGACGAUCGAUUCAAGAGACGGAGAUGUCGUCGCAGCCCGGUAACUCGCAGAGCCCGAAAGCUGGGGUAGUGAUAACCAGCUCCCGGCAAAGUCAACGAAGCGUUGGACCUGUACCUAUCUGGAGCAGUAGCUCGGCAGCUGCCACUGCAUAUGCAACCGCAACGUCCGCAGCGAGCAUCUCCGUAGACGAGGAAAUUAAUGGCAAUAAUCGAAGAGGAUCCUACAAGACCAGACGGAAAGAAUCGUUCAUGUCAACGGCAGCAACGAUGGGCGUGCUGAAUGUUCUGAGACACUGGGUCUCCAAGCACGCUGGCGACUUCGAGUCCGAUCCGAAGUUGAAAAGUUUAACGGUCAAGUUCCUGGAAGAAAUUGUUUAUUGCCCGCAUCUGCUACCGGCUGAACACGACGUGGCGCACCUACUGCUUCGAUUGAUCAUCAAAGAAGAACAGGAUAGCAGCAAAGUGGACCUGAAGAAGCUUCUAGCUCCUCCCACUACACAAAGCAAGGAAAGCAUUGAGACAUUAUCUGCGAUGGACAUCGCAGAACAAAUGACAUACUUAGAUCACAAGAUAUUCAUAUCAAUAUCAAAUGAAGAAUUUCUUGGACAAGCCUGGAUGAAGUCGGACAAAGCAACGCGUGCUCCUCAUAUUCUGCUAAUGACGAAAAGAUUUAACGAAGUGAACCAAUUAGUGAUUUCGGAGAUUCUUCGACGCACCAACAUGUCGGCGAGGGUGGCUGCGAUCGAAAAAUGGGCUGCGGUUGCUGAUAUCAGCAGGGUUCUGCACAAUUACAACGGCGUACUACAAAUUUGCUCGGCGUUCACAAACAGCAGCGUUUACAGAUUGAAGAAGACUUGGGAAAAAGUUUCUAAAACGACGAAGCAAAAUAUCGAAAAACUCCAGAACAUCGUCUCGUCGGACGGACGUUUCAAAAAUUUAAGGAACGCUUUGCACCGAUGCGAUCCCCCCUGCAUUCCUUACUUAGGACUGUACUUAUCUGACCUCUCCUGCAUAGAAGAAGGUGCACCAACCAUAACCGACGAAGGUCUUCUGAAUUUUUCGAAAAUGCGAAUGAUUGCGAACGUGAUUCGUGAGAUACGGCAGUUUCAGCAGAAACCGUACAAGAUCGAGCUGAUCACGAAAGUAACGAACUAUCUGUUAGACCCGUCGCUGCUGCUCGACGACAAGCAUCUAUUCGACAUGUCCUUAGAGAUCGAGCCCAGACUAUCCAGGCUAAGUACUUCCAAUUAAAUCGAUCUGCCACACUCUGUGAGCAAUGCGCCCACGAAGUGUCUCUUAAGUGUCAAGGUUAAGGUGACACAAAGGGGAGGUCCGCAUUGACUGUUAAAUCACAAUCCGACUUAAUAAUGGCGACAAUUUACAAGCUUCUUCGUCGACAAAAAGUAUUCGUUCUUCUUACGAGCAUAAUGAUGGAAAGCGGCAAAAUUUGUCUUACUUGCGUGGUACCACGAAGAAAAGUUACAUACAAACAUGGUAUUUAGUACCGAGAGGAACUCAAAAACGGUUUCGACCGAUUCAAAUUCACGAUCGUCGCAAGAAAAAGUCAGGUUAACGCAUGGUAUAAGAAGGAGAGCUGGACCGACUUCAUCCCUAUGCCUGUCAUCUUUAAAGGUUCGCAUCUGAUAUGGUUUGCUAGGCGCUCUGUGAAACUUUCGUGCUAUCGGCGAGAGUUCCUAUAGCGUGUGUUCGGUAUCCGCUAUAUAGCAGUGCUCCGAAUGUUUCGGAACGCAACAUUAGGCUCCGCCUCUUGACUAUCGCCGCAGCGUCUCGCUGCGCGGGGAUGCUGCACGCGAUGGAACGCGGGGAGUGAGACGCUGCGGCUGCAGUCAGGGGGCGGAGCCUAAUGUUGCGCUCCGAAGCAUUCCGAGCACUGCGCUACAGUAACAUUACCAUAAUAGUGGCAGUAGCGGCAGUAAUACCGCACUCAGGCGAAUAUAACUUUAAGAAGCAAUGUAUCGGUGAGCACCGACGAAAACGUUAGCACAUCUCGCGGGAACUCGUGGGAGUAAAUUUUAGCGUCGCGGAAAUUUUCUAGCGGGGUAACCGUAGUCGGUCCAUUUCUCCUUCUUACACCGUGCAUCCUAAACCUGCAAGCGAAUCUGAUACUCCGGAUUUUUUUAAUACCUUGACUGCCACGCUCUC
RNA transcript from Megalopta genalis, 6100 nucleotides. It is a transcript of the gene named ras-specific guanine nucleotide-releasing factor 2, with no coding region annotated. Lineage: Eukaryota; Metazoa; Arthropoda; Insecta; Hymenoptera; Halictidae. The record is from RefSeq and is a predicted model, not a curated record.